This is a non-coding RNA of Heterocephalus glaber (naked mole-rat), 792 nucleotides long. The record is from RefSeq and is a predicted model, not a curated record. NCBI's taxonomy places the organism in Eukaryota, Metazoa, Chordata, Mammalia, Rodentia, Bathyergidae.
GCCCAACACUGGGAGUCAGAAACGCGAGGGCCCAGCCACGGAAGGCUGCGCCCACAUGUCUAAGAAUUUUACUCCAUAAAGACUGGAGAGAAAGCCCCUCGUGGAAAGAAGAGCAGUCAAGAGCAUUCUGUUUUUCAGAGGACCGCCCUCAAGAGAAACCAUUCAACCAGCACCCAGACUAGUGGGCUUUAUCAGAGCCUGACCAACCUGGAGGAAGGGAAACAGCCAACUCCAGCCCUCUUCAGCGUUCCACAGAGCAAAAGGAGAAUAACUAACAGUAGCUCCUUCCACCAUUCUGUUGCUCCGGAAGGGAGGGGAGCGCUGAGAAGCAUGUGUGCAGGUCAUAGCCCAGGCCACAGUCCACCAAAAGUCUAAUAUAUAACUCCUCUCCUCUUACCACAUCUCUCCGCCACAUUCCUAAAUGCAGGCUUGCUGGAGUUCCUUCAAGAACUUUGCUUCCAGCUCGCAAGAAAAAAAUUACAAGCCAUACUGAAAAGUCAAAACCACAGUUUGAAGAGAUGGAGCAAGAAUCCAAACCAGAGUCCAAUAUGGCAGAUGGUGGAAUCACCUGGACAGCAAUUAACCCUCCUAUCUCCUUAAGACUGACACAGCAGGCAAGAUGGUUUCAAAACAAAGCAGAGGAACUACUUGUCCUACCAACAUCAAGACAUGUUCAAAAUAUAGAAACUAAGGUAGUAUGGAAUUGGUAUUGGGGUACGAAAAGAAUAAAACGUCCAGAAGUGUAACAAAUGUGGCCUUAUGUAUCACUAAUAAAUAUAAAUGGUGCUUGGA